Molecule: ribosomal RNA, 253 nt
Filed under: uncultured bacterium
Lineage: Bacteria
Description: partial small subunit ribosomal RNA
Rfam family: Bacterial small subunit ribosomal RNA
Source: RNAcentral
AGGACGAACGCUGGCGGCGUGCUUAACACAUGCAAGUCGAGCGGAAAGGCCCUUCGGGGUACUCGAGCGGCGAACGGGUGAGUAACACGUGAGCAACCUGCCCUUAGCUUCGGGAUAGCUCCGGGAAACCGGAAUUAAUACCGAAUAUGACUUUGGCUGACAUCAGCAGAAGUGGAAAGUUUUUCGGCUAGGGAUGGACUCGCGGCCUAUCAGCUUGUUGGUGGGUAACGGCCUACCAAGGCGACGACGGGUA